GAUGAACGCUGGCGGCGUGCUUAACACAUGCAAGUCGAACGAAGCAUUUGCGACAGAUUUUUUCGGAAUGAAGUUGCUUAUGACUGAGUGGCGGACGGGUGAGUAACGCGUGGGUAACCUGCCUUGUACUGGGGGAUAGCAGCUGGAAACGGCUGGUAAUACCGCAUAAGCGCACAAUGUUGCAUGACAUGGUGUGAAAAACUCCGGUGGUAUAAGAUGGACCCGCGUCUGAUUAGCUAGUUGGUGAGAUAACAGCCCACCAAGGCGACGAUCAGUAGCCGACCUGAGAGGGUGACCGGCCACAUUGGGACUGAGACACGGCCCAGACUCCUACGGGAGGCAGCAGUGGGGAAUAUUGCACAAUGGAGGAGACUCUGAUGCUGCGACGCCGCGUGAGUGAAGAAGUAAUUCGUUAUGUAAAGCUCUAUCAGCAGGGAAGAUAGUGACGGUACCUGACUAAGAAGCGCCGGCUAAAUACGUG
Molecule: ribosomal RNA, 481 nt
Filed under: uncultured bacterium
Lineage: Bacteria
Description: partial 16S ribosomal RNA
Rfam family: Bacterial small subunit ribosomal RNA
Source: RNAcentral